UAGGGAAUCUUCCGCAAUGGGCGAAAGCCUGACGGAGCAACGCCGCGUGAGUGAUGAAGGUCUUCGGAUCGUAAAACUCUGUUAUUAGGGAAGAACAAAUGUGUAAGUAACUAUGCACGUCUUGACGGUACCUAAUCAGAAAGCCACGGCUAACUACGUGCCAGCAGCCGCGGUAAUACGUAGGUGGCAAGCGUUCUCCGGAAUUAUUGGGCGUAAAGCGCGCGUAGGCGGUUUUUUAAGUCUGAUGUGAAAGCCCACGGCUCAACCGUGGAGGGUCAUUGGAAACUGGAAAACUUGAGUGCAGAAGAGGAAAGUGGAAUUCCAUGUGUAGCGGUGAAAUGCGCAGAGAUAUGGAGGAACACCAGUGGCGAAGGCGACUUUCUGGUCUGUAACUGACGCUGAUGUGCGAAAGCGUGGGGAUCAAACAGG
Molecule: ribosomal RNA, 429 nt
Filed under: Actinomycetes bacterium
Lineage: Bacteria; Bacillati; Actinomycetota; Actinomycetes
Description: Actinobacteria bacterium partial 16S ribosomal RNA
Rfam family: Bacterial small subunit ribosomal RNA
Source: RNAcentral